This 455-nucleotide ribosomal RNA is filed under the name uncultured bacterium. RNAcentral describes it as "bacterial SSU rRNA". It matches the Rfam family "Bacterial small subunit ribosomal RNA", at positions 28 to 355 of the family's 1533-position model. The record is from RNAcentral.
GACGAACGCUGGCGGCGCGCCUAACACAUGCAAGUCGAACGGAGUUAUUUUCUUCACUCCGAGCUUUUUGCCAGUUAGCCGGAGCGGCAAUCGGUUUUGCCCAGCAUACAAAGCAAAACCGAUUUAGGCUCAUAAAGUAAGACUAACACAGAGGGCAGAGAGUUGGGAGUGAAGAAAAUAACUUAGUGGCGAACGGGCGAGUAACGCGUGAGUAACCUGCCCUGGAGUGGGGGACAACAGUUGGAAACGACUGCUAAUACCGAAUGACGUUGCGCUGUCGCAUGACGGUGCAACCAAAGGCCGGGCAACCGGUCACUGAAGGAUGGGGCCUGCGUCUGAUUAGCUAGUUGGUGAGGUAACGGCCCACCAAGGCGACGAUCAGUAGCCGGUCUGAGAGGAUGAACGGCCACAUUGGGACUGAGACACGGGCCCAAACUCCUACGGGAGGCAGCAGU